This 417-nucleotide long non-coding RNA is filed under the name Gallus gallus (chicken). RNAcentral describes it as "lncRNA (ENSGALG00010011039.1)". Lineage: Eukaryota; Metazoa; Chordata; Aves; Galliformes; Phasianidae. The record is from RNAcentral.
GAGAAACAACAGCAGGCUCUUCCUGCAGGCCACUGUUGGGGCACACACAGGGAUGAGGGGCUGCGUUUCAGCCGCUGCUUUGCUAAAUACUGCACUGUGUUACUCUGAUUAUUCUCGGGCUCAGGCUCUGAUCAUCACGCCGAUGAAUGAGAGCCAGGUUUAAUGGCAGGAUGAAUGACGACGAAGCGGCCACUCAUCGUUCCCGUGCUUCACGAGGACAGUGCAAGUGAUUUUAAGGACAUCUGGAGGCUCACAGCUCAUCUUGGUAUACAUAGGUGUUAAAGGCAGUGCCCUCACGCAUCUCAUAAUGCUAUGCUUGACCUUUUAUCGAAGAAAAGUCUUAAUAAAUAACUCAGUGGAAAAGCUACAUUUCCUUCAUGUACUGACAAUCACCCCAGACUCUGACUUCUGCCAUGG